Empidonax traillii (willow flycatcher) is the source of this 145-nucleotide long non-coding RNA. RefSeq lists it as uncharacterized. The transcript has 3 exons. NCBI's taxonomy places the organism in Eukaryota, Metazoa, Chordata, Aves, Passeriformes, Tyrannidae. The record is from RefSeq and is a predicted model, not a curated record.
UUGCAAAAGAACAAGAUAAGCAGGACAAAAUAGUUCCCCACCAGAGCAACCAGCACUCCACAAGUAGCAGCCAUGCCCUAGACCCCAGACACAAUCUACAUUCCUUUAUGAAGCUUGCCUUCAAGUAGCCAGGCACUAAAAUUAG